This 474-nucleotide ribosomal RNA is filed under the name Triticum aestivum (bread wheat). RNAcentral's name for it is "partial small subunit ribosomal RNA". The record is from RNAcentral. Lineage: Eukaryota; Viridiplantae; Streptophyta; Magnoliopsida; Poales; Poaceae.
AUGGCCAGAUCUGCAGCUCAUGGGUUGAACCCCUGCACUGCAAUCCCCCUUGCACUGGCUCCACCUUUCUCUUCCUCUUCCACUUCCUCUUUCUCUUCCUCUUCCCCUUCCUCUUCCACUUCCUCUUUUAAUUGCCAACCAGUCCGGCCUCCCGGCCCCAUCUUCUUGGUUCACCUAAGAAAUCUUCCACCUGUUCAAGUCGCCGGCUCCAAGGCUGCCAUCCACGCCAAAUCGGUGGCCGCUAGCACUGCGCCCAACAGCCACUGCUCGGCUCCUUGCACCUGCCGCUGCUCGACGGAUCCGAGGGGGGCGAGAAGGACAGGGCGUGUGGCAGCUGUGAGGGAAAGAGAAGCAGGUUACCAUGGGGGCGUGUGGGACAAAUCUCUAAUGUACCAGGUUAGUCCAGAUUACACUCUCGCCGACUCCAAUCCUCAUCUAUUGUCUUGCUGGUUUGCCACUGAUCUAGGUAUAUAA